CUUGACGACCAUAGAGCGUUGGAACCACCUGAUCCCAUCCCGAACUCAGAAGUGAAACGAUGCAUCGCCGAUGAUAGUGUGGGGUUUCCCCAUGUGAGAGUAGGUCAUCGUCAAGA
This 116-nucleotide ribosomal RNA is filed under the name Pseudomonas sp. MD195_PC81_125. Lineage: Bacteria; Pseudomonadati; Pseudomonadota; Gammaproteobacteria; Pseudomonadales; Pseudomonadaceae. The record is from RNAcentral.